AGUGAACGCUGGCGGUAGGCCUAACACAUGCAAGUCGAACGGCAGCACAGUAAGAGCUUGCUCUUACGGGUGGCGAGUGGCGGACGGGUGAGGAAUACAUCGGAAUCUACUUUUUCGUGGGGGAUAACGUAGGGAAACUUACGCUAAUACCGCAUACGACCUACGGGUGGAAGCAGGGGAUCUUCGGACCUUGCGCGAUUGAAUGAGCCGAUGUCGGAUUAGCUAGUUGGCGGGGUAAAGGCCCACCAAGGCGACGAUCCGUAGCUGGUCUGAGAGGAUGAACAGCCACACUGAAACUGAGACACGGUCCAGACUCCUACGGGGGGCAGGAGUGGGGAAUAGUGGACAAUGGGCGAAAGCCUGAUCCAGCCAUACCGCGUGGGUGAAGAAGGCCUUCGGGUUGUAAAGCCCUUUUGUUGGGAAAGAAAAGCAGCAGGUUAAUACCCCGCUGUUCUGACGGUACCCAAAGAAUAAGCACCGGCUAACUGCG
This 490-nucleotide ribosomal RNA is filed under the name uncultured bacterium. Its description in RNAcentral is "partial 16S ribosomal RNA". It matches the Rfam family "Bacterial small subunit ribosomal RNA", at positions 29 to 505 of the family's 1533-position model. The record is from RNAcentral.